RNAcentral lists this ribosomal RNA (253 nucleotides) under uncultured bacterium. RNAcentral describes it as "partial 16S ribosomal RNA". It matches the Rfam family "Bacterial small subunit ribosomal RNA", at positions 524 to 776 of the family's 1533-position model. The record is from RNAcentral.
UACGGGGGGGGCAAGCGUUGUUCGGAAUUACUGGGCGUAAAGGGCUCGUAGGUGGCCAACUAAGUCAGACGUGAAAUCCCUCGGCUUAACCGGGGAACUGCGUCUGAUACUGGAUGGCUUGAGUUCGGGAGAGGGAUGCGGAAUUCCAGGUGUAGCGGUGAAAUGCGUAGAUAUCUGGAGGAACACCGGUGGCGAAGGCGGCAUCCUGGACCGACACUGACACUGAGGAGCGAAAGCCAGGGGAACAAACGGG